This 377-nucleotide ribosomal RNA is filed under the name Bacillus pumilus. RNAcentral's name for it is "bacterial SSU rRNA". It matches the Rfam family "Bacterial small subunit ribosomal RNA", at positions 79 to 450 of the family's 1533-position model. The record is from RNAcentral. Lineage: Bacteria; Bacillati; Bacillota; Bacilli; Caryophanales; Bacillaceae.
UUGCUCCCGGAUGUUAACGGCGGACGGGUGAUAACACGUGGGUAACCUGCCUGUAAGACUGGGAUAACUCCGGGAAACCGGAGCUAAUACCGGAUAGUUCCUUGAACCGCAUGGUUCAAGGAUGAAAGACGGUUUCGGCUGUCACUUACAGAUGGACCCGCGGCGCAUUAGCUAGUUGGUGGGGUAAUGGCUCACCAAGGCGACGAUGCGUAGCCGACCUGAGAGGGUGAUCGGCCACACUGGGACUGAGACACGGCCCAGACUCCUACGGGAGGCAGCAGUAGGGAAUCUUCCGCAAUGGACGAAAGUCUGACGGAGCAACGCCGCGUGAGUGAUGAAGGUUUUCGGAUCGUAAAGCUCUGUUGUUAGGGAAGAAC